This 468-nucleotide ribosomal RNA is filed under the name uncultured bacterium. Its description in RNAcentral is "partial 16S ribosomal RNA". It matches the Rfam family "Bacterial small subunit ribosomal RNA", at positions 28 to 507 of the family's 1533-position model. The record is from RNAcentral.
GACGAACGCUGGCGGCGUGCUUAACACAUGCAAGUCGAACGGAAAGGCCCUGCUUUUGUGGGGUGCUCGAGUGGCGAACGGGUGAGUAACACGUGAGUAACCUGCCCUUGACUUUGGGAUAACUUCAGGAAACUGGGGCUAAUACCGGAUAGGAGCUCCUGCUGCAUGGUGGGGGUUGGAAAGUUUCGGCGGGUGGGGAUGGACUCGGGGCUUAUCAGCUUGUUGGUGGGGUAGUGGCUUACCAAGGCUUUGACGGGUAGCCGGCCUGAGAGGGUGACCGGCCACAUUGGGACUGAGAUACGGCCCAGACUCCUACGGGAGGCAGCAGUGGGGAAUAUUGCACAAUGGGCGGAAGCCUGAUGCAGCAACGCCGCGUGCGGGAUGACGGGCUUCGGGUUGUAAACCGCUUUCGCCUGUGACGAAGCGUGAGUGACGGUAAUGGGUAAAGAAGCACCGGCUAACUACGUG